GUGCUCGCUUCUGCAGCACAUGUACUAAAAUUGGAGUGAUACAGAGAAGAUUAGUAUAGACCUGCACAAGAUGACAGGCAAAUUCGUGAAGCAUUCCAUGUUUUA
Cercocebus atys (sooty mangabey) is the source of this 105-nucleotide small nuclear RNA. NCBI's taxonomy places the organism in Eukaryota, Metazoa, Chordata, Mammalia, Primates, Cercopithecidae. The record is from Ensembl.